RNAcentral lists this transfer RNA (65 nucleotides) under Dipodomys ordii (Ord's kangaroo rat). It matches the Rfam family "tRNA". From Rfam's summary of the family: Transfer RNA (tRNA) molecules are approximately 80 nucleotides in length. The record is from Rfam by way of RNAcentral. Lineage: Eukaryota; Metazoa; Chordata; Mammalia; Rodentia; Heteromyidae.
GGUGGCUCAGUGGUAGAGCACUUGCCUUACAUGCACGAGGCCCUGGGUUCCAUUCCUCAGCACCA